Molecule: ribosomal RNA, 460 nt
Filed under: uncultured bacterium
Lineage: Bacteria
Description: partial 16S ribosomal RNA
Rfam family: Bacterial small subunit ribosomal RNA
Source: RNAcentral
CCUACGGGAGGCAGCAGUGAGGAAUAUUGGUCAAUGGACGAGAGUCUGAACCAGCCAAGUAGCGUGAAGGAUGACUGCCCUAUGGGUUGUAAACUUCUUUUAUAAAGGAAUAAAACGAGGCACGUGUGCCUUUUUGCAUGUACUUUAUGAAUAAGGAUCGGCUAACUCCGUGCCAGCAGCCGCGGUAAUACGGAGGGUCCGAGCGUUAUCCGGAUUUAGUGGGUUUAAGGGGAGCGUAGAUGGGUGGUCAAGUCAGUUGUGAAAGUUUGCGGCUCAACCGUAAAAUUGCAAUUGAUACUGGCAGUCUUGAGUACAGUUGAGGUAGGUGGAAUUCGUGGUGUAGCGGUGAAAUGCUUAGAUAUCACGAAGAACCCCGAUUGCGAAGGCAGCUUACUAAACUGUGACUGACAUUGAUGCUCGAAAGUGUGGGUAUCAAACAGGAUUAGAUACCCCAGUAGUC